Molecule: non-coding RNA, 98 nt
Organism: Lyophyllum atratum
Lineage: Eukaryota; Fungi; Basidiomycota; Agaricomycetes; Agaricales; Lyophyllaceae
Source: the annotation of a GenBank genome assembly
AGCAGCAUGGCGCAGUUGGAAGCGCGCGGGGCCCAUACCAUGCAUCUCUAGAUCUGAUUGCCACCCCGAGGUCACUUGAUCGAAACAAGUUGCUGCUA